Molecule: ribosomal RNA, 594 nt
Filed under: Triticum aestivum (bread wheat)
Lineage: Eukaryota; Viridiplantae; Streptophyta; Magnoliopsida; Poales; Poaceae
Description: partial small subunit ribosomal RNA
Source: RNAcentral
AUGUCGUUGUUCGGUGACGAUUUCUUUGAUUUAGUCGACUCCAUCGGAUUCGAGGACGGUGUCUUUGGCUCGUCCAGGUCCAGCCCGUCGACCUUCCGUUUCCGCUUCGGGGCGGCGGUGAAGGCGGCGCCGAUAGAGCAUAAGUUGCCGUGCACCCUGGAAGAGCUCUACGCGGGGACGACCAGGAGGAUGAAGAUCACCAGGCUAGUCGCCGACGCCGACGCCAGCGGCAACGGGGGCACGGUCCCGGCGGAGGAGACCGUGACGAUCGAGGUGAAGCCGGGGUGGAAGAAGGGCACCAGGAUCACCUUCCCGGAGCGGGGGAACGAGUGGCCCAACACGGUCCCCGCCGACGUGGUCUUCAUCGUCCACGAGAAGCCGCGCGCACCCGGUGUUCGCCCGGGACGGCGACGACCUCGUCGCGACGUGCAGGACGCCCCUGGCCGGGGGGCGCGCCGUGCACCUGACGGCGCUCGACGGGCGCAGCCUCACGGUGCCCGUCAGCAGGUCGGCGGUCCGCCCGGGGUGGUGGUCCGCGGCGAGGGCAUGCCCGUCCCCAGGAGGCCAGGAAGCCGUCCAGGAGGGGCGACCUGA